AAGUCGUAACAAGGUCUCCGUUGGUGAACCAGCGGAGGGAUCAUUACUGGAAUCGCAAGAUCCCACAACCCUGUGAACCUACCGAAACGUUGCCUCGGCGGGUGCCCGGCCCUGCGCCGGGCACGAAGCCCGCCGGUGGCCCCCUACUCUGUCUCUGCAGCGUGGCAUCUCCGAGUAUAUACAAAACAAGUCAAAACUUUUAACAACGGAUCUCUUGGCUCUAGCAUCGAUGAAGAACGCAGCGAAAUGCGAUAAGUAAUGCGAAUUGCAGAAUUCAGUGAAUCAUCGAGUCUUUGAACGCACAUUGCGCCCGCCAGUAUCCUGGCGGGCAUGCCUGUUCGAGCGUCAUUUCCACCCUCGGGCCCUGCCUGGUGUUGGGGGCCUGCGCACGCAGCCCCUGAAAGACAGCGGCGGUCCCGAUCUCAGGUCCCGAGCGUAGUACUAUACGUCGCCCCGGGCGCUGGCGGGCUCCGGCCGUAAGCCUCUUUUUUACAAGGUUGACCUCGGAUCAGGUAGGAAUACCCGCCGAACUUAAGCAUAUCAAUAAGCGGAGGAAAAGAAACCAACAGGGAUUGCCUCAGUAACGGCGAGUGAAGCGGCAACAGCUCAAAUUUGAAAUCUGGCCCCAGGCCCGAGUUGUAAUUUGCAGAGGAUGCUUCAGGUGCGGUGCCUUCCAAGUCCCCUGGAACGGGGCGCCACGGAGGGUGAGAGCCCCGUAUGGUCGGACACCAAGCCUAUGUGAAGCUCCUUCGACGAGUCGAGUAGUUUGGGAAUGCUGCUCAAAAUGGGAGGUAGACCCCUUCUAAAGCUAAAUACCGGCUAGAGACCGAUAGCGCACAAGUAGAGUGAUCGAAAGAUGAAAAGAACUUUGAAAGGAGGGUUAAACAGCACGUGAAAUUGUUAAAAGGGAAGCGCUUGUGACCAGACUUGCGCCGGGGCGAUCAUCUAGCGUUCUCGCUGGUGCACUCGUCCCGGCCCAGGCCAGCGUCGGUUCGGGAGGGGGGACAAAAGCUUGGGGAUGUGGCUCCCUCGGGAGUGUUAUANNCAAGUGUAUGCCCCCGCCCGGACCGAGGUUCGCGCUCUGCAAGGACGCUGGCGUAAUGGUCACCAGCGGCC
RNAcentral lists this ribosomal RNA (1116 nucleotides) under uncultured fungus. RNAcentral describes it as "eukaryotic LSU rRNA". The stretch from base 499 to 1116 matches the Rfam family "Eukaryotic large subunit ribosomal RNA", at positions 1 to 649 of the family's 3401-position model. Lineage: Eukaryota; Fungi. The record is from RNAcentral.